GGAUUGUGACUCAGCGGUAGAGUGCUUGCCUAGCACAUGGGAGGCCCUGGGUUCGAUCCUCAGGACCA
RNAcentral lists this transfer RNA (68 nucleotides) under Marmota monax (woodchuck). Its description in RNAcentral is "tRNA.Ala". The record is from RNAcentral. Lineage: Eukaryota; Metazoa; Chordata; Mammalia; Rodentia; Sciuridae.